Molecule: ribosomal RNA, 379 nt
Filed under: uncultured bacterium
Lineage: Bacteria
Description: partial 16S ribosomal RNA
Rfam family: Bacterial small subunit ribosomal RNA
Source: RNAcentral
CCUACGGGUGGCAGCAGUGGGGGAUAUUGCACAAUGGGGGGAACCCUGAUGCAGCGACGCCGCGUGGGUGAAGAAGCGCCUCGGCGCGUAAAGCCCUGUCAGCAGGGAAGAAAAUGACGGUACCUGAAGAAGAUGCCCCGUCUAACUACGUUCCAGCAGCCGCGGUAAUACGUAGGGGGCAAGCGUUAUCCGGAUUUACUGGGUGUAAAGGGGGCGCAGGCGGCGAUGCAAGCCAGGAGUGAAAGCCCGGGGCCCAACCCCGGGACUGCUCUUGGAACUGCGGGGCUGGAGUGCAGGAAGGGCAGGUGGAAGUCGUGGUGUAGCGGUGAAAUGCGGAGAUAUCAGGAGGAACACCGGUGGCGAAGGCGGUCUGCUGGAC